GACGAACGCUGGCGGCGUGCUUAACACAUGCAAGUCGAACGGUAAGGCCCUUCGGGGUACACGAGUGGCGAACGGGUGAGUAACACGUGGGUGAUCUGCCCUGCACUUCGGGAUAAGCCUGGGAAACUGGGUCUAAUACCGGAUAGGACCACUGCCUGCAGGGGUGGUGGUGGAAAGCUUUUGCGGUGUGGGAUGGGCCCGCGGCCUAUCAGCUUGUUGGUGGGGUGAUGGCCUACCAAGGCGACGACGGGUAGCCGGCCUGAGAGGGUGACCGGCCACACUGGGACUGAGAUACGGCCCAGACUCCUACGGGAGGCAGCAGUGGGGAAUAAUGCACAAUGGGCGCAAGCCUGAUGCAGCGACGCCGCGUGAGGGAUGACGGCCUUCGGGUUGUAAACCUCUUUCAGCACCGACGAAGCGCAAGUGACGGUAGGUGCAGAAGAAGGACCGGCCAACUACGUGCCAGCAGCCGCGGUAA
RNAcentral lists this ribosomal RNA (478 nucleotides) under uncultured bacterium. RNAcentral's name for it is "partial 16S ribosomal RNA". It matches the Rfam family "Bacterial small subunit ribosomal RNA", at positions 28 to 523 of the family's 1533-position model. The record is from RNAcentral.